This 62-nucleotide transfer RNA is filed under the name Dipodomys ordii (Ord's kangaroo rat). It matches the Rfam family "tRNA", at positions 6 to 65 of the family's 71-position model. From Rfam's summary of the family: Transfer RNA (tRNA) molecules are approximately 80 nucleotides in length. Their secondary structure includes four short double-helical elements and three loops (D, anti-codon, and T loops). Lineage: Eukaryota; Metazoa; Chordata; Mammalia; Rodentia; Heteromyidae. The record is from Rfam by way of RNAcentral.
UGUAGCUCAGUGGCAGAGUGCUUGCCUUACAUGCAUGAAGUCCUGAGUUUGAUUCCUCAGUA